This 408-nucleotide ribosomal RNA is filed under the name uncultured bacterium. Its description in RNAcentral is "partial 16S ribosomal RNA". It matches the Rfam family "Bacterial small subunit ribosomal RNA", at positions 28 to 526 of the family's 1533-position model. The record is from RNAcentral.
GACGAACGCUGGCGGCGUGCUUAACACAUGCAAGUCGAACGAAGUGGCGAACGGGUGAGUAACGCGUAAACCACCUGCCCUUCAGAGGGGGACAACAGUUGGAAACGACUGCUAAUACCGCAUACUGAAUGAGGGGAUUGCGUUUGAUUAGCUAGUUGGAGGGGUAAUGGCCCACCAGGGGGAUGAUCAGUAGCCGGGCUGAGAGGCUGAACGGCCCGAUUGGGACUGAGGCACGGGCCAGACUCCUACGGGAGGCAGCAGUGGGGAAUCUUCCGGAAUGGGCGAAAGUCUGACGGAGCAACGCCGCGUGAGUGGUGACGGCCUUCGGGUUGUAAAGCUCUGUUAAUCGGGACGCGGUACCGGAAUAGAAAGCCACGGCUAACUACGUGCCAGCAGCCGCGGUAAUUC